Long non-coding RNA from Suricata suricatta (meerkat), 509 nucleotides. RefSeq lists it as uncharacterized. The transcript has 2 exons. The record is from RefSeq and is a predicted model, not a curated record. NCBI's taxonomy places the organism in Eukaryota, Metazoa, Chordata, Mammalia, Carnivora, Herpestidae.
UAAAGGGAGGGGGGCGGGGAGCGGGAGCUGGCCUCAGAGAAGUGCUGGCUGCGGCGGUUUCUGGUUGCCAUCACAGAGGCAAACAAAGCCCAGGCCGCGCGGGGUGGCCCCGCCCAGCGCCAAGCUCCGGCCACCGUUUCCCACACCUCGCCGGUGGACCCGUCGAUGUUUUCCUCCGCAGAUUGCGUUCUGGGGAGCAGGUGGGAGGGCUGCCCGGCUCUGGGGACUUUUCUGCGGCUCUGUAGUGCCAUCCUACAGGAGCACAGCCUCUGGGGCCAGAGGAACCUCUGCUCCCCAUUAUCAGCUCAGAAGAAACUUUGUAUGAACCAAACAACUGCGGCCUGGAUCCAGCCCAGUGGCUGUGAGGGUGACUGCUGCUAGACAACUUUGUAAACUGUCUCAAGGUAAAGGUGACUUAUGUGCCUCUGGGCGCCUAGGUCUUUGCCCAGGGAUGUGAGCAGCGAGUAUUACUUACAAACUUCUUCAGAAUAAAAGAGUGAUGUCAUUUA